Molecule: microRNA precursor, 99 nt
Filed under: Bigelowiella natans CCMP2755
Lineage: Eukaryota; Cercozoa; Chlorarachniophyceae
Description: miRNA EPrBNAG00000013103
Source: RNAcentral
GAUAGACGACGAUGCUUAUGAUGAUGAUGAUAAUGAUAAUGAUUAUCAUUAUUAUUCUCUUCAUCAUUCUUAUUAUCAUCAUUAUUAUAAUUAUUUUUA